RNAcentral lists this transfer RNA (74 nucleotides) under Anguilla anguilla (European eel). RNAcentral describes it as "tRNA-Ile". It matches the Rfam family "tRNA". Rfam says of the family: Transfer RNA (tRNA) molecules are approximately 80 nucleotides in length. RNAcentral also lists the same sequence under 1 other name. The record is from RNAcentral. Lineage: Eukaryota; Metazoa; Chordata; Actinopteri; Anguilliformes; Anguillidae.
GCUCCAGUAGCGCAAUCGGUUAGCGCGCGGUACUUAUAAUGCCGAGGUUGUGAGUUCAAGCCUCACCUGGAGCA